This 301-nucleotide ribosomal RNA is filed under the name uncultured bacterium. RNAcentral's name for it is "partial 16S ribosomal RNA". It matches the Rfam family "Bacterial small subunit ribosomal RNA", at positions 509 to 807 of the family's 1533-position model. The record is from RNAcentral.
CAGUCGCCGCGGUAAAACGAAGGUCCCGAGCGUUGUUCGGAAUCACUGGGCGUAAAGGGAGCGUAGGCGGCGUGGUAAGUCAGAUGUGAAAUCCCGGGGCUCAACCCCGGAACUGCAUCCGAUACUGCCAUGCUAGAGGAUUGGAGAGGUAGCUGGAAUUCUUGGUGUAGCAGUGAAAUGCGUGGAGAUCAAGAGGAACACUCGUGGCGAAAGCGAGCUACUGGACAAUAACUGACGCUGAGGCUCGAAGGCCAGGGUAGCGAAAGGGAUUAGAUACCCCAGUAGUCCCUGUCUCUUAUAC